This 336-nucleotide unclassified non-coding RNA is filed under the name soil metagenome. RNAcentral's name for it is "partial contains 5.8S ribosomal RNA, internal transcribed spacer 2, and large subunit ribosomal RNA". The stretch from base 1 to 120 matches the Rfam family "5.8S ribosomal RNA", at positions 35 to 154 of the family's 154-position model. The record is from RNAcentral.
GAUGAAGAACGUAGCGAAAUGCGAUAAGUAAUGUGAAUUGCAGAAUUCAGUGAAUCAUCGAAUAUUUGAACGCACAUUGCGACCGCCAGUAUUCUGGCGGGCAUGCCUGUUCGAGCGUCAUUUCAACCAUCAAGCCCCAGGCUUGUGUUGGGGACCUGCGGCUGCCGCAGGCCCUGAAAACCAGUGGCGGGCUCGCUGUCACACCGGGCGUAGUAGAUUUUAUCUCGCUCAGGGCGUGCUGCGGGUUCCGGCCGUUAAAAAGCCUUUUUUACCCAAGGUUGACCUCGGAUCAGGUAGGAAUACCCGCUGAACUUAAGCAUAUCAAUAAGCGGAGGA